RNAcentral lists this unclassified non-coding RNA (433 nucleotides) under soil metagenome. RNAcentral's name for it is "partial contains 5.8S ribosomal RNA, internal transcribed spacer 2, and large subunit ribosomal RNA". The stretch from base 1 to 120 matches the Rfam family "5.8S ribosomal RNA", at positions 35 to 154 of the family's 154-position model. The record is from RNAcentral.
GAUGAAGAACGUAGCGAAAUGCGAUACGUAAUGUGAAUUGCAGAAUUCAGUGAAUCAUCGAAUCUUUGAACGCAUAUUGCGCUCUCUGGUAUUCCGGAGAGCAUGCUUGUUUGAGUAUCAGUAAACACCUCAACUUCCAUAUCUUUUUUGAAAUGGGAGUUGGACUUGAGUGAUCCCAACGCUUUUCCUCACCGAAAAGUGGCGGGUUACUUGAAAUGCAGGUGCAGCUGGACUUUUCUCUGAGCUAUAAGCAUAUCUAUUUAGUCUGCCUAAAAAACAGAUUAUUACCUUUGCUGCAGCUAACAUAAAGGAGAUUAGUUCUUGUGCUGACUGAUGCAGGAUUCACAAAGACAGGCUUCGGCCGACUUUGUAAACUCGAUCUCAAAUCAAGUAAGACUACCCGCUGAACUUAAGCAUAUCAAUAAGCGGACGA